GUCAGCAGAUACGAGGCACUAUCAUUGGCACCAACUAUGAUGAACCUCAGUAUGUUGCUUUCAAUCCAGAUGACAAUCUAGUAGCCCUCUGUGUGGAGAAUGAAGUUCUAAUCCUUGAUGCUCAGAAAGAGAGACUGACCUGAGGUUAGAAGGUCACACAGCUCCUGUGACCUGUGAGAGUUUUGCCCGCAUUCACGGACACCGUGGUAUCAGCUUCUGAAGAUAGGACAUUCAAAGUUUGGGAUAUUGCGACACAGUGUCUCAUAUACCAGUCAAGCAUUAUAUCAGCUUCUCCAUUCCUCUGUCUUGCCAUUGAUCCAUAUUCUCAAUGUGUAGCCCUGGGUACAACAGACGGACAGGUAAGGAUGUAUGACCUAUCGGAAGGAAAGGGUUUCAGAUGUCUACACCACAUUGACAUAGCCAAGCAUCUUAGGACAACAGAACAGACUCAAGGCGGAACAAAAGGUUUCAAGUACAUC
This is an RNA transcript of Strongylocentrotus purpuratus (purple sea urchin), 479 nucleotides long. RefSeq lists it as uncharacterized. The transcript is spliced from 5 exons. The record is from RefSeq and is a predicted model, not a curated record. Lineage: Eukaryota; Metazoa; Echinodermata; Echinoidea; Camarodonta; Strongylocentrotidae.